ACAGGGAUUGCCCUAGUAACGGCGAGUGAAGCGGCAACAGCUCAAAUUUGAAAUCUGGCUCUCUUUGGGGGUCCGAGUUGUAAUUUGCAGAGGAUGCUUUGGCAUUGGCGGCGGUCUAAGUUCCUUGGAACAGGACAUCGCAGAGGGUGAGAAUCCCGUACGUGGGCGCCUGCCUUUGCCGUGUAAAGCUCCUUCGACGAGUCGAGUUGUUUGGGAAUGCAGCUCUAAAUGGGAGGUAAAUUUCUUCUAAAGCUAAAUACCGGCCAGAGACCGAUAGCGCACAAGUAGAGUGAUCGAAAGAUGAAAAGUACUUUGGAAAGAGAGUCAAAAAGCACGUGAAAUUGUUGAAAGGGAAGCGCUUGCAGCCAGACUUGCCCGCAGUUGCUCACCUAGGCUUUGGCCUGGGGCACUCUUCUGCGGGCAGGCCAGCAUCAGUUUGGGCGGUCGGACAAAGGCCUCUGUCAAGUAUCUCCCUUCGGGGUGACCUUAUAGGGGAGGCGUAAUGCGACCAGCCCGGACUGAGGUCCGCGCAUCUGCUAGGAUGCUGGCGUAAUGGCUGUAAGCGGCCCGUCUUGAAACACGGACCAAGGAGUCUAACAUCUAUGCGAGUGUUUGGGUGUCAAGCCCGGGCGCGCAAUGAAAGUGAACGGAGGUGGGAACCCUUUGGGUGCACCAUCGACCGAUCCUGAUGUCUUCGGAUGGAUUUGAGUAAGAGCAUAGCUGUUGGGACCCGAAAGAUGGUGAACUAUGCUUGAAUAGGGUGAAGCCAGAGGAAACUCUGGUGGAGGCUCGCAGCGG
RNAcentral lists this ribosomal RNA (798 nucleotides) under Paraconiothyrium cyclothyrioides. RNAcentral describes it as "partial large subunit ribosomal RNA". It matches the Rfam family "Eukaryotic large subunit ribosomal RNA", at positions 68 to 883 of the family's 3401-position model. The record is from RNAcentral. Lineage: Eukaryota; Fungi; Ascomycota; Dothideomycetes; Pleosporales; Didymosphaeriaceae.